Molecule: ribosomal RNA, 468 nt
Filed under: uncultured bacterium
Lineage: Bacteria
Description: partial 16S ribosomal RNA
Rfam family: Bacterial small subunit ribosomal RNA
Source: RNAcentral
GACGAACGCUGGCGGCGUGCUUAACACAUGCAAGUCGAACGGAAAGGCCCUGCUUUUGUGGGGUGCUCGAGUGGCGAACGGGUGAGUAACACGUGAGUAACCUGCCCUUGACUUUGGGAUAACUUCAGGAAACUGGGGCUAAUACCGGAUAGGAGCUCCUGCUGCAUGGUGGGGGUUGGAAAGUUUCGGCGGUUGGGGAUGGACUCGCGGCUUAUCAGCUUGUUGGUGGGGUAGUGGCUUACCAAGGCUUUGACGGGUAGCCGGCCUGAGAGGGUGACCGGCCACAUGGGGACUGAGAUACGGCCCAGACUCCUACGGGAGGCAGCAGUGGGGAAUAUUGCACAAUGGGCGGAAGCCUGAUGCAGCAACGCCGCGUGCGGGAUGACGGCCUUCGGGUUGUAAACCGCUUUCGCCUGUGGCGAAGCGUGAGUGACGGUAAUGGGUAAAGAAGCACCGGCUAACUACGUG